UGGCCGGUAACUGACGUUGAGAAGCGAAAAGCGUGGGAAGCGAACAGGAUUAGAUACCNUGGUAGUCCACNCCGUAAACGUUGGGCGCUAGAUGUAGGACCUUUCCACGGUUUCUGUGUCGUAGCUAACGCAUUAAGCGCCCCGCCUGGGGAGUACGGCCGCAAGGCUAAAACUCAAAGGAAUUGACGGGGGCCCGCACAAGCGGCGGAGCAUGCGGAUUAAUUCGAUGCAACGCGAAGAACCUUACCAAGGCUUGACAUACACCGGAAACGGCCAGAGAUGGUCGCCCCCUUGUGGUCGGUGUACAGGUGGUGCAUGGUUGUCGUCAGCUCGUGUCGUGAGAUGUUGGGUUAAGUCCCGCAACGAGCGCAACCCUCGUUCUAUGUUGCCAGCGCGUUAUGGCGGGGACUCAUAGGAGACUGCCGGGGUCAACUCGGAGGAAGGUGGGGAUGACGUCAAAUCAUCAUGCCCCUUAUGUCUUGGGCUUCACGCAUGCUACAAUGGCCGGUACAAAGGGCUGCGAUACCGUAAGGUGGAGCGAAUCCCAAAAAGCCGGUCUCAGUUCGGAUUGAGGUCUGCAACUCGACCUCAUGAAGUCGGAGUCGCUAGUAAUCGCAGAU
This 620-nucleotide ribosomal RNA is filed under the name Curtobacterium flaccumfaciens. Its description in RNAcentral is "bacterial SSU rRNA". It matches the Rfam family "Bacterial small subunit ribosomal RNA", at positions 730 to 1349 of the family's 1533-position model. The record is from RNAcentral. Lineage: Bacteria; Bacillati; Actinomycetota; Actinomycetes; Micrococcales; Microbacteriaceae.